UUUUCGGACCUAGCGGCGGACGGGUGAGUAAUGCGUAGGAAGCUGCCCGAUAGAGGGGGAUACCAGUUGGAAACGACUGUUAAUACCGCAUAAUGUCUACGGACCAAAGUGUGGGACCUUCGGGCCACAUGCUAUCGGAUGCGCCUACGUGGGAUUAGCUAGUUGGUGAGGUAAUGGCUCACCAAGGCGACGAUCUCUAGCUGGUUUGAGAGGAUGAUCAGCCACACUGGAACUGAGACACGGUCCAGACUCCUACGGGAGGCAGCAGUGGGGAAUAUUGGACAAUGGGCGCAAGCCUGAUCCAGCCAUGCCGCGUGUGUGAAGAAGGCCUUCGGGUUGUAAAGCACUUUCAGCGAGGAGGAAGGGUGGUGUGUUAAUAGCACAUCAUUUUGACGUUACUCGCAGAAGAAGCACCGGCUAACUCUGUGCCAGCAGCCGCGGUAAUACAGAGGGUGCAAGCGUUAAUCGGAAUUACUGGGCGUAAAGCGCACGUAGGCGGUUGGUUAAGUUGGAUGUGAAAGCCCCGGGCUCAACCUGGGAAUUGCAUUCAAAACUGGCCAACUAGAAUACGGGAGAGGGGGGUAGAAUUCCAAGUGUAGCGGUGAAAUGCGUAGAGAUUUGGAGGAAUACCAGUGGCGAAGGCGGCCCCCUGGC
Molecule: ribosomal RNA, 654 nt
Filed under: bacterium
Lineage: Bacteria
Description: bacterial SSU rRNA
Rfam family: Bacterial small subunit ribosomal RNA
Source: RNAcentral